Long non-coding RNA from Panicum virgatum (switchgrass), 1173 nucleotides. RefSeq lists it as uncharacterized. The record is from RefSeq and is a predicted model, not a curated record. NCBI's taxonomy places the organism in Eukaryota, Viridiplantae, Streptophyta, Magnoliopsida, Poales, Poaceae. The transcript is spliced from 3 exons.
CAGGAUCACGUGAGCAGUGUGCUCCAGCCCGCCGCCAGCCCCACUCUCCCCCCGCGCUCGCCUGCCUCCCGCGCUGCCCGCGCUCGCGAAUGCCCCGGCUCUGGCGUUUCCCGCUCGCAAGCGCCGCCUCCGCGCCCUACAUCUGCGCUAGCGCGCGAAAUCGUUCCCAAUCCACCCUCAUAUAGUAGAUCCGCCCCCUCCCCACAUAUCCCCACCCUUCCAUUGACUUCCAAUGCUUGCCGACGGGGAGGGUCGUCGAUCUUGAAGGGGAAGAUGUCCCGGCGGGGGAAAUCAGUACCCCAGCUCGGCGGUGGUCCGGCAAAGCGCGGCGGCGGCACUCCUCCAGCAGCUCCAUCGCAGUCGGAAUUGUUGCCCCCACCUCCGAAUGGUUCAUGGUUUCCUGGAUAUGGAGGUAGCAGUGGUCAGAGUUCAUCCUUCCCUGGAAUUCAAUCGGCAAAAUCCAUGCGAAAAACGUCCUAUUGGGAGAGAAGGGGCAAAGACAGAACGGAAAGGGAAGCGGAAGGCGGACCAGGUUAUGGAUGGUAUUGUCAUGCUUGGAGAUAACAUAAACAAAAUAAUUGAAGUUACACAAGAACGUAAGAAGGAGCGUGAAAAAGUGAUAGGAGCGCAACUAGAGAUCUCAAGGCUUAACCUGAAGGCUGCAAAGAAGCAAAAAAAAUCAAAGUUGCUGGAAGCUUAUACUUCUUUGCUGGUUCGAGGUACAAGUCAUAUGUCCGAAGAAGCCAAGUUGAGACAGGAGAAGACACUGGAGAAGAUGGAGAAGAAGUUAUUUGGCACUGCUGAUGAUGCAUGAGGGGAGAAGGUGACUAGACAGAGAAAUAUGGAUGGCGCUGGCGGCUGGAGAACUGAUAUGUGUGAAGGGUUGGCAUGUGAUCUGGAAAGAGUUUUAUAUAAGCGUGAAUUGUGCCUUGGCUUGUGAAACUGAUCCGUGUGAAUUCUAAUGGUUAUUUUCCAUUCAAGUGUGAAUGGUGAUGCCUUGGCAUGUGAAACUGAUCCACCUUGGCUUGUGAAACUGAUCCGUGUGAAUUCUAAUGGUUAUUUUUCAUUUGUGUAAAUGGUGAUGCCUUGGCAUGUGAAACUGAUCCACCUUGGUGAUGCCUUGGCAUGUGAAUUAUAUCCUAGUAUGUUGUUUUACAACAAGUUACAUAGUUA